GGGGGGGGGGGGGGGGGGGGGGGGGGGGGGGGGGGCGGGCGGGGGGGCGGGGGGAGCGGGGGGGGCGGGGGGGGAGCGGGGGGGUAAUGCGGCGGAACGUAGCCUCGGGGGGGGGCGAGCCCCGCGAAAGUGGGGCUAAUACCGCAUGGGCUCUGCGGGGGAAAGGGGGGGGCCUGCGGGGGCCUCGCGCUGGGGGAGCGGCCGAUGUCCGAUUAGCUAGUUGGUGGGGUAAAGGCUUACCAAGGCGACGAUCGGUAGCUGGUCUGAGAGGAUGAUCAGCCACACUGGGACUGAGACACGGCCCAGACGCCUACGGGAGGCAGCAGUGGGGAAUUUUGGACAAUGGGGGCAACCCUGAUCCAGCCAUGCCGCGUGAGUGAAGAAGGCCUUCGGGUUGUAAAGCUCUUUCGGACGGAACGAAAUGGGCGGGACUAAUACUCCUGUCUGAUGACGGUACCGUAAGAAGAAGCACCGGCUAACUACGUG
RNAcentral lists this ribosomal RNA (486 nucleotides) under uncultured bacterium. RNAcentral describes it as "partial 16S ribosomal RNA". The stretch from base 56 to 486 matches the Rfam family "Bacterial small subunit ribosomal RNA", at positions 39 to 507 of the family's 1533-position model. The record is from RNAcentral.